RNAcentral lists this unclassified non-coding RNA (22 nucleotides) under Chlamydomonas reinhardtii. RNAcentral describes it as "small RNA Cre_3991". The record is from RNAcentral. Lineage: Eukaryota; Viridiplantae; Chlorophyta; Chlorophyceae; Chlamydomonadales; Chlamydomonadaceae.
UUGGCGGUCGCACAUUAUCGCG